Molecule: ribosomal RNA, 1483 nt
Filed under: uncultured Bordetella sp.
Lineage: Bacteria; Pseudomonadati; Pseudomonadota; Betaproteobacteria; Burkholderiales; Alcaligenaceae
Description: partial 16S-23S ribosomal RNA intergenic spacer
Rfam family: Bacterial small subunit ribosomal RNA
Source: RNAcentral
GGUUCGAUCUGGCUCAGGUCGGAACGCUGGCGGGAUGCUUUACACAUGCAAGUCGAACGGCAGCACGGACUUCGGUCUGGUGGCGAGUGGCGAACGGGUGAGUAAUGUAUCGGAACGUGCCUAGUAGCGGGGGAUAACUACGCGAAAGCGGCGUAGCUAAUACCGCAUACGCCCUUCGAGGAAAGCGGGGACCUUCGGGCCUCCGCCCACUAUUAAAACGGCCGAUAUCGGAUUAGCUAGUUGGUGGGGUAACGGCUCACCAAGGCGACGAUCCGUAGCUGGUUUGAAGGACGACCAGCCACACUGGGACUGAGACACAUCCCAGACUCCUACGGGAGGCAGCAGUGGGGAAUUUUGGACAAUGGGGAAACCUGAUCCAGCCAUCCCGCGUGUGCGAUGAAGGCCUUCGGGUUAUCAAAGCACUUUUGGCGGAAGAAACGGCACGGGAUAAUACCCCGUGCAACUGACGGUACCUGCAGAAUAAGCACCGGCUAACUACGUGCCAGCAGCCGCGGUAAUACGUAGGGUGCAAGUGUUAAUCGGAAUUACUGGGCGUAAAGCGUGCGCAGGCGGUUCGGAAGAAAGUCAUGAAAUCCCAGAGCUUAACUUUGGAACUGCAUUUUUAACUACCGAGCUAGAGUGUGUCAGAGGGAGGUGGAAUUCCGCGUGUAGCAGUGAAAUGCGUAGAUAUGCGGAGGAACACCGAUGGCGAAGGCAGCCUCCUGGGAUAACACUGACGCUCAUGCACGAAAGCGUGGGAGCAAACAGGAUUAGAUACCCUGGUAGUCCACGCCUAAACGAUGUCAACUAGCUGUUGGGGCCUUCGGGCCUUGGUAGCGCAGCUAACGCGUGAAGUUGACCGCCUGGGAAGUACGGUCGCAAGAUUAAGCUCAAGGAAUUGACGGGGACCCGCACAAGCGGUGGAUGAUGUGGAUUAAUUCGAUGUAACGCGAAAAACCUUACCUACCCUUGACAUGUCUAGGAUCCCGAAGAGAUUUAGAGUGCUCGCAAGAGAACCGGAACACAGGUGCUGCAUGGCUGUCGUCAGCUCGUGUCGUGAGAUGUUGGGUUAAGUCCCGCAACGAGCGCAACCCUUGUCAUUAGUUGCUACGAAGGGCACUCUAAUGAGACUGCCAGUGACAAACCGGAGGAAGGUGGGGAUGACGUCAAGUCCUCAUGGCCCUUAUGGGUAGGGCUUCACACGUCAUACAAUGGUCGGGACAGAGGGUCGCCAACCCUGAGAGCCAAUCCCAGAAACCCGAUCGUAGUCCGGAUCGCAGUCUGCAACUCGACUGCGUGAAGUCGGAAUCGCUAGUAAUCGCGGAUCAGCAUGUCGCGGUGAAUACGUUCCCGGGUCUUGUAUACACACCGCCAAAUCACACCAUGGGAGUGGGUUUUACCAGAAGUAGUUAGCCUAACCGUAGUAAGGAGGGCGAUUACCACGGUAGGAUUCAUGACUGGGGUGAAGUCGUAACAAAGGUAG